Molecule: long non-coding RNA, 2102 nt
Filed under: Homo sapiens (human)
Lineage: Eukaryota; Metazoa; Chordata; Mammalia; Primates; Hominidae
Description: HSALNT0357370
Source: RNAcentral
AUACUGGUAGAAAAUUUUCUGCAACUGUCCUCAAACAGAGCAGUGAUUGGUAGGGCAGGAAAGAGAAAGGUGGAAUAGAUUAUAAAUUAAUUGGAGAAGAAAAAGAUAAAUCUUAGUACUAAUUUGGCAACCCAUUUCAAGCAAGGAAAAUGUAGAUGUUGUAUCCCUGCUUUUUCUGAAUAAUUUUAUUACCCUAUGCAAUAGGAGCUGUUAUCACUGCAGAACCAAGGUCACCUGUGGAAGCUCCUUGCUGAAGCCAGUUUUCUAUCAGAUCAUCCAUCAGGCCUAGCAGGUUGAUUUCUUUAGGUCCCCACCACCCACCAUGAGAUUGGACAAGUCUAGUGGGAAGUGGUCUAGAGGUGAUGGAUCUUCUAGGAUUGCAAUCAGAGCUGGCUUCAUGAGUGUGCACAGGGGUCCCACACAUGAAUGAGUACUUUCCUUCACUGUCUUAAAAUUCUUAAUAGUGUUUGAACAAGGUAUCCCAGAUUCAUUUUCAUUUGCACUGGGCCCCACAAAUUAUGUAGCCAGAUUAGGUUACAGUCAACAUUUGGACAAUGUUAACUCUAUUUAUUGCACACUAUUUUUCUAAGAUAACUAGUAGAAAUGCUUGCAUGUCAGAAAUGUUGUUGUUAAAAUAUCUGAUGACUUAAGCUGUCUUACAUUUAGGCUGAUAUCUCUCCUUACAUCUUUUCUGCCAUUAACAUUAGGGAUUAGAUAGAUCAAACAAGGCAAGGAGAACUCAAGAAAGUCUGGUCACUUCAGUGAGUGUUGGUGUGUGAGGAGAAUCAAGUGAGAAGUGCUUUUAGAAACAUCCAUGCAGGUAUGAAGGAGCUCUAACAUGCCAGGUGAGUGGACAAGGCUUGGGGAAGGUUGACGAUACCUAGAGACAUGUCAGCCUUUGGGUCAGAGCCUGCCUAAUCUCAUGGGGAACUGAUGGGUGGAAUAGGCACUCUAGGCUCCCCCUGGCAUGGGCAGGGUUGCAGAGAAUUCAGAAAUUUGUGUGUGUUCACGGAGGGGAGGCCAAGCUUCUGACUGUUGAAGUUAGGGUCAGAAUGGAGAGGCAAGCAUGUGUGUGAGGGACUCUGAGAUGGGAGGCUGACAAUUAGGACAAUGGGCUUUGCCCAUGGAGCCAGAAUGUUACCCUGCGAGGGUGAAUGGCACUGGGCCACAUAUCUCAGUGGUCAGAUCCAGGAUCUCAGCAGUCACUCCUAUCAAUCAGAGAUCGGACCAUGGCAGGCACACUCAGCAAAGUCCCCCAUGAUCCAGAAGACAUGUGCGAAUUCUGCAUCAUCUUCCCCUCCAUAAUCCUGAGGACAGUGAGAGCCAAGGAUUGCUUAGCCACACAGGUGUAGCAGUGGGGGAAGCAGAAAGCUAGAUGAAUCCAUGGAUGGAAUUUUUCAGGAGAGUAACAUAGGGCAUGAAGGCCCAUCAAUGAGAGAGACAACAUUUAGAUAGGAGUACUGGACAUUUGAAAAUUCUUACACCCUGUGAUGUGACAUGGAGAAGUGACCAACACAACUUUGCCAACUAUACUCCAUUCUUAGUAACUGCCGAUUAGGAAGGAUUUCUUUCUAAGUCUGUCACUAAUUCAACUGUUAUUCACAAGAGAAGUAGAGGCAAAUGAUAGCAGCUUGAUCGUUGAUUUUUGAUUUAGAUGAUCAAUGAUGUUCAGAAUAGUGUUUGUAUGUGUGAGCAUGGAUGUGUAUGUCGUGUGUGUGUCUGUGUAUGUGGUGUGUGUGUCUGUGUAUAUUGUGUGUGUGUGUGUGCAUGCGUGUGUGCAGGGUAGGUAUCACCACAUUCCCUGUGGUGGUGUGUCUCUUCUCUGGGAUUGGUUCUUCUAGAAUCUCCCACCUUUUAGAACCACUUUAAGAUAUUUAUUUAUUCUCUCCAACCAUCCUGGCAAUCUUUUUAUCCUUAAACAGGAAUAAAUUCCUACAGCUGAAUCUAUUCAGGAUUUCUGUGUGUAUGUGUGAAAAUUUAUAUGAUGCUCAAUCCUUUAAAAAUCUUUUAUUCAAGUAACUUUAAAAGUAAAACACAAGGUGUUUUAUCAUAAAAAGUGAGAGAUGUUAGUCCACUUAAUUUCUUGCUUGCUUUCUUUUGUG